CUCCGGUUGAUCCUGCCGGACCUGACUGCUAUCGGAUUGGUACUAAGCCAUGCGAGUCGUUGUAGCAAUACAAGGCGGACGGCUCAGUAACACGUAGUCAACCUAACCUAUGGACGUGGAUAACCUCGGGAAACUGAGAAUAAACCGCGAUAGAUCAUUAUGCCUGGAAUGGCUUAUGGUUCAAACAAUUUAUUGCCGUAGGAUGGGACUGCGGCCUAUCAGCUUGUUGGUGAGGUAAUGGCCCACCAAGGCUAUAACAGGUACGGGCUCUGAGAGGAGAAGCCCGGAGAUGGGUACUGAGACACGGACCCAGGCCCUAUGGGGCGCAGCAGGCGAGAAACCUUAGCAAUGUGCGAAAGCACGACUAGGUUAAUCCGAGUGAUUUCUGUUGAAGAAAUCUUUUGUCAGUCGUAAAACCACAGACGAAUAAGGGGUGGGCAAGUCUGGUGUCAGCCGCCGCGGUAAUACCAGCACCUCGAGUGGUCAGGAGGUUUAUUGGGCCUAAAGCAUCCGUAGCCGGCUACGCAAGUCUCCGGUUAAAUCCAGCUGCUCAACAGAUGGGCUGCCGGAGAUACUACAUAGCUAGGGAGCGGGAGAGGUAGACGGUAUUCUGUGGGUAGGGGUAAAAUCCACUGAUCCAUAGAGGACCACCAGUGGCGAAGGCGGUCUACCAGAACGCGUUCGACGGUGAGGGAUGAAAGCUGGGGGAGCAAACCGGAUUAGAUACCCGGGUAGUCCCAGCUGUAAACGAUGCAAACUCGGUGAUGCAUUGGCUUAUGGCCAAUGCAGUGCCGCAGGGAAGCCGUUAAGUUUGCCGCCUGGGAAGUACGGACGCAAGUCUGAAACUUAAAGGAUUGGCGGGGGAGCA
RNAcentral lists this ribosomal RNA (868 nucleotides) under uncultured archaeon. RNAcentral's name for it is "bacterial SSU rRNA". It matches the Rfam family "Archaeal small subunit ribosomal RNA", at positions 1 to 878 of the family's 1478-position model. The record is from RNAcentral.